GAUGAACGCUGGCGGCGUGCCUAAUACAUGCAAGUCGAGCGAACAGACGAGGAGCUUGCUCCUCUGACGUUAGCGGCGGACGGGUGAGUAACACGUGGAUAACCUACCUAUAAGACUGGGAUAACUUCGGGAAACCGGAGCUAAUACCGGAUAAUAUAUUGAACCGCAUGGUUCAAUAGUGAAAGACGGUUUUGCUGUCACUUAUAGAUGGAUCCGCGCCGCAUUAGCUAGUUGGUAAGGUAACGGCUUACCAAGGCGACGAUGCGUAGCCGACCUGAGAGGGUGAUCGGCCACAAUGGAACUGAGACACGGUCCAGAAUCCUACGGGAGGCAGCAGUAGGGAAUCUUCCGCAAUGGGCGAAAGCCUGACGGAGCAACGCCGCGUGAGUGAUGAAGGUCUUCGGAUCGUAAAACUCUGUUAUUAGGGAAGAACAAAUGUGUAAGUAACUAUGCACGUCUUGACGGUACCUAAUCAGAAAGCCACGGCUAACUACGUG
This 497-nucleotide ribosomal RNA is filed under the name uncultured bacterium. RNAcentral's name for it is "partial 16S ribosomal RNA". It matches the Rfam family "Bacterial small subunit ribosomal RNA", at positions 28 to 507 of the family's 1533-position model. The record is from RNAcentral.